Molecule: non-coding RNA, 207 nt
Organism: Vicia faba (fava bean)
Lineage: Eukaryota; Viridiplantae; Streptophyta; Magnoliopsida; Fabales; Fabaceae
Source: the annotation of a GenBank genome assembly
AUGAACGUUACAGUAAAUGGAGAUUCGAGAUUACCUGCCGGAGUAGUUCCAAAGACUCUUCAAAGUGACAAAAAUGAUGAAUACAGAGGGCAACAACAGGGUUUAAGACAUGGGUGCAGUUUGGUUCGUGUUGCAAUGCUUGGAGGAAAUGUGAAGGCACAUGGAGAUGAUGAAUCAAUGAAGAUCAAAGUAAAGCAAGAUGUUUAA